RNAcentral lists this transfer RNA (74 nucleotides) under Methanobrevibacter sp. Its description in RNAcentral is "tRNA-Arg". It matches the Rfam family "tRNA". From Rfam's summary of the family: Transfer RNA (tRNA) molecules are approximately 80 nucleotides in length. RNAcentral also lists the same sequence under 2 other names. The record is from RNAcentral. Lineage: Archaea; Methanobacteriati; Methanobacteriota; Methanobacteria; Methanobacteriales; Methanobacteriaceae.
GGGCCUGUGGUCUAGUCUGGAAUGACGCAGGACUUCGGAUCCUGAGAUCGGGGGUUCAAAUCCCUCCAGGUCCG